GCCGCCCGGGCCGCGGUGCGGAGUGCGCGGGGUCGGGGCGUGCCGGGCAGAGAGCAGGAAAGGCUCUGCAGGAUAUUUUAUUGUGUGGAACAAUAAGGUAGAGAUACCAGUAUCUUCUCAGUGACUGAGGAGGAGGAGUUUGAAGGUCAGAGUUUCUUUGUGCGUGGAGUGAUUGCCUUUUCUGGAGCCCUCCUCAGUGCUUUUCACAGGCUCCCACAGGACAUACCCAGCAGGAGGAAUCCCAUCUUCUCCACUGUCCUAGGAUAUGCAACAUAUUUUAGUAGGGCUGGCUUGCAAACGUUAUAUUCCAGCUGCAAACACAGGCAAAUAAAAUAUCGCAAACACAGCUACAGGAGAAGGAGCUGAAUCCUUGCUGCCUCAUGACAUCAGUUUGAAGUUCAAGCUCCUUUGCAGAAUGCUUAUUGUGGUGAUGAGGUGAGGAAGAGCAAAUACCAACUGGAUUGGC
This is a long non-coding RNA of Prinia subflava (tawny-flanked prinia), 466 nucleotides long. RefSeq lists it as uncharacterized. The transcript has 5 exons. The record is from RefSeq and is a predicted model, not a curated record. NCBI's taxonomy places the organism in Eukaryota, Metazoa, Chordata, Aves, Passeriformes, Cisticolidae.